AUGCUCCUAUGUUGUGUUAAGUGUUGGCAGAUAUCUGGACCCCGCCCUAGCGGUCCGGAACUUGGACCCCGAACUUCUCCUCCCCAUACGAAGUCCGGGGUUUUUUUUGCCCCAAA
This 116-nucleotide small RNA is filed under the name Pseudomonas sp. NFIX28. RNAcentral's name for it is "Pseudomon-1 RNA". It matches the Rfam family "Pseudomon-1/ErsA RNA". From Rfam's summary of the family: Functions to regulate the AlgC enzyme. The record is from RNAcentral. Lineage: Bacteria; Pseudomonadati; Pseudomonadota; Gammaproteobacteria; Pseudomonadales; Pseudomonadaceae.